UGCGUGUGUGUGUGUGUGUGUGUGUGUGUAUGUAGGUCUGGUGACGGUGGAGUGAACACAGUAAGAUCAAACCUGGAGCACAAAUCAGAUGACAAGACAGAGGUGUGUGUGUCCUCUCAGCAUGGCGGUUCUCAUGUGGUUCAGAUCAGAAGACCGAUGGGUCGCAGAGGCGGAUCUCAGCGAGUGUGGAGAUGAUUUUACUCUUCUCAUUUAUUCAUUUAAUAAAAUGUAAUGAAUUUAAUGUAUUUUCGUAUGUUUUAAAAUAUUUGAAAUAAAAACUCUUACUGGACUUUAAAGUAA
Triplophysa rosa is the source of this 300-nucleotide long non-coding RNA. RefSeq lists it as uncharacterized. Lineage: Eukaryota; Metazoa; Chordata; Actinopteri; Cypriniformes; Nemacheilidae. The transcript is spliced from 2 exons. The record is from RefSeq and is a predicted model, not a curated record.